UACGUAGGGGGCAAGCGUUGUCCGGAUUUAUUGGGCGUAAAGAGCGUGUAGGCGGCCAAGCAGGUCCGCUGUGAAAACUCGAGGCUCAACCUCGAGACGUCGGUGGAAACCGUUUGGCUAGAGUCCGGAAGAGGAGAGUGGAAUUCCUGGUGUAGCGGUGAAAUGCGCAGAUAUCAGGAAGAACACCCGUGGCUAAGGCGGCUCUCUAGUACGGUACUGACGCUGAGACGCGAAAGCGUGGGGGAGCGAACAGG
RNAcentral lists this ribosomal RNA (254 nucleotides) under uncultured bacterium. RNAcentral describes it as "partial 16S ribosomal RNA". It matches the Rfam family "Bacterial small subunit ribosomal RNA", at positions 524 to 776 of the family's 1533-position model. The record is from RNAcentral.